AAAAGUGUCACUUCCACCGCCUUUGUGUCGCAGCUUCUUUUUCUCCGUGUGAAUGUGAAGGUAAACGGUGUGUGUGAGCUGCUGUGAGUUCAGCAGCAUGGAUCAGUGUGAGGAUCCUCACAGCUCUCUGUGGGGGGAACAGAAGAAGCAGAACAAAGCUCAGAGGAAAGAACCUGGAUCUGGACCUGAACCAGAACCUGGACCUGGGCCUGAACCUGAUUCUGAACCAGAACCUGGACCUGCACGCAGCUGUGUGUCCUUUAAGAGCAACUGGUCCAAGGAUCUUUACAUUGA
Long non-coding RNA from Acanthochromis polyacanthus (spiny chromis), 294 nucleotides. RefSeq lists it as uncharacterized. The record is from RefSeq and is a predicted model, not a curated record. NCBI's taxonomy places the organism in Eukaryota, Metazoa, Chordata, Actinopteri, Pomacentridae. The transcript has 3 exons.